GCUCUUGGAAACGGGUGGUAAUGCUGGAUGCUCCAACUUGACGCAUGUCUUGUUGGGAAAGUGUUUAGUGGCAUGGGAUGGGGUCGCGUCCUAUCAGCUUGUAGGCGGGGUAAUGGCCCACCUAGGCUUCGACGGGUAGCCGGCCUGAGAGGGCGGACGGCCACAUUGGGACUGAGAUACGGCCCAGACUCCUACGGGAGGCAGCAGCC
Molecule: ribosomal RNA, 209 nt
Filed under: uncultured Gardnerella sp.
Lineage: Bacteria; Bacillati; Actinomycetota; Actinomycetes; Bifidobacteriales; Bifidobacteriaceae
Description: partial 16S ribosomal RNA
Rfam family: Bacterial small subunit ribosomal RNA
Source: RNAcentral